Molecule: ribosomal RNA, 822 nt
Filed under: Psychrobacter celer
Lineage: Bacteria; Pseudomonadati; Pseudomonadota; Gammaproteobacteria; Moraxellales; Moraxellaceae
Description: bacterial SSU rRNA
Rfam family: Bacterial small subunit ribosomal RNA
Source: RNAcentral
GGGAACUGCAUCUGAUACUGUUNAGCUAGAGUAGNUGAGAGGGAAGUAGAAUUCCAGGUGUAGCGGUGAAAUGCGUAGAGAUCUGGAGGAAUACCGAUGGCGAAGGCAGCUUCCUGGCAUCAUACUGACACUGAGGCUCGAAAGCGUGGGUAGCAAACAGGAUUAGAUACCCUGGUAGUCCACGCCGUAAACGAUGUCUACUAGUCGUUGGGUCCCNUGAGGACUUAGUGACGCAGCUAACGCAAUAAGUAGACCGCCUGGGGAGUACGGCCGCAAGGUUAAAACUCAAAUGAAUUGNCGGGGGCCCGCACNAGCGGUGGAGCAUGUGGUUUANUUNGAUGCAACGCGAAGAACCUUACCUGGUCUUGACAUACACAGAAUCUUGUAGAGAUACGAGAGUGCCUUCGGGAAUUGUGAUACAGGUGCUGCAUGGCUGUCGUCAGCUNGUGUNGUGAGAUGUUGGGUUAAGUCCCGCAACGAGCGCAACCCUUGUCCUUAGUUACCAGCGGGUUAAGCCGGGAACUCUAAGGAUACUGCCAGUGACAAACUGGAGGAAGGCGGGGACGACGUCAAGUCAUCAUGGCCCUUACGACCAGGGCUACACACGUGCUACAAUGGUAGGUACAGAGGGCAGCUACACAGCGAUGUGAUGCGAAUCUCAAAAAGCCUAUCGUAGUCCAGAUUGGAGUCUGCAACUCGACUCCAUGAAGUAGGAAUCGCUAGUAAUCGCGGAUCAGAAUGCCGCGGUGAAUACGUUCCCGGGCCUUGUACACACCGCCCGUCACACCAUGGGAGUUGAUUGCACCAGAAGUGGUUAGCCGA